GUCUCUGGCCAUACCACCCUGAACAUGCCUGAUCUGUUUGAUCUCAGAAGUUAAUCUGGGUCUGGCCUGGUUAGUACUUGAAUGGAAGACCAUCUGGGAAUACCAGAUGCUGCAGGCU
This 118-nucleotide ribosomal RNA is filed under the name Carlito syrichta (Philippine tarsier). Lineage: Eukaryota; Metazoa; Chordata; Mammalia; Primates; Tarsiidae. The record is from RNAcentral.